AACCUCAUAGGAGUUGGGAUGAAGAAGUUAUCCCACUUUCAAAUCAGGUGAUUCUAGUUUCCCAAUUUGGAAAUAAGACAACUUCUUCGUCGUUCAAAUUCAACACGAUGAAUCACUUUGUAAGAAGCUUGAUUUGGAUACAUAAAGUGCUGGAGAAUCACGAGGAAGUUGAAUAAAUCUCAUAUGAGUUGAGAUGAAGAAGUUAUCCCACUUUCAAAUAAGGUGAUUCCAGUUUCCCAUUUUGGAAUACCACAACAUCUUCAUCGUUCCUAUCAAACCAGGAUGAAUCACUUUUUAAGAA
RNAcentral lists this long non-coding RNA (301 nucleotides) under Brassica napus (rape). RNAcentral describes it as "long non-coding RNA (BNAP_LNC026041)". The record is from RNAcentral. Lineage: Eukaryota; Viridiplantae; Streptophyta; Magnoliopsida; Brassicales; Brassicaceae.